AAUUUCAAAUUUAAAAGUACAUUCCAUUCCCUUGGACAAAGACAGGUCUAUGGGUGCUUAAUGAGUGAAACAAAUUACAACAAAAAAUUCUGACGUUGCAAAUACUUUGGAAGGCUAAAGAACAAUUUAGAUUAACCACAAAAGCUUUAUUGUUUCAGUAAGGUUCCAAGAAAAUAUGAUCCAUGUAAGUCUCAUUUUAAAGACACAGUCCUUGUCGUAUUUUCUCUCCUAGAAGAAGCAAUUAUACUUACCCUUAACCUAACUCCUGGGAGCUCACCCACUGAAAAUAUUUGAGGAAAUCUGACAGGAGAGAUAACUCUUCAAUGGAGAAUCUGGAUCCACUGCUGGAAAUCGCAAUGCUGUUCCUUGAGAGUUGGAACAAAUAAUGAAUUAUUUGUAUUUAUACAGUCAUUUCUACCAUAACAUUUACUUACCAUGGGGUCCCUGGAAAUAUUCUAAACCUGUUUCCCAACAAAACAGGAUCAGUUCUCUGCACCUGUGGACAAAUUGCCUUUACAGGAAGUUGUUUGUAAAUACAACCUGUUCAGAUAUUCAUGGAUCAUCCUUUCUGCUUAAUAAAAUGAACAUGUGACAUAUGAA
Long non-coding RNA from Passer domesticus (house sparrow), 600 nucleotides. RefSeq lists it as uncharacterized. The transcript has 2 exons. NCBI's taxonomy places the organism in Eukaryota, Metazoa, Chordata, Aves, Passeriformes, Passeridae. The record is from RefSeq and is a predicted model, not a curated record.